This 548-nucleotide ribosomal RNA is filed under the name Caballeronia sp. RNAcentral describes it as "bacterial SSU rRNA". It matches the Rfam family "Bacterial small subunit ribosomal RNA", at positions 212 to 751 of the family's 1533-position model. The record is from RNAcentral. Lineage: Bacteria; Pseudomonadati; Pseudomonadota; Betaproteobacteria; Burkholderiales; Burkholderiaceae.
CUCGCGCUAUAGGGGCGGCCGAUGGCAGAUUAGCUAGUUGGUGGGGUAAAGGCCUACCAAGGCGACGAUCUGUAGCUGGUCUGAGAGGACGACCAGCCACACUGGGACUGAGACACGGCCCAGACUCCUACGGGAGGCAGCAGUGGGGAAUUUUGGACAAUGGGGGCAACCCUGAUCCAGCAAUGCCGCGUGUGUGAAGAAGGCCUUCGGGUUGUAAAGCACUUUUGUCCGGAAAGAAAACGUCUUGGUUAAUACCCGAGGCGGAUGACGGUACCGGAAGAAUAAGCACCGGCUAACUACGUGCCAGCAGCCGCGGUAAUACGUAGGGUGCGAGCGUUAAUCGGAAUUACUGGGCGUAAAGCGUGCGCAGGCGGUCUGUUAAGACCGAUGUGAAAUCCCCGGGCUUAACCUGGGAACUGCAUUGGUGACUGGCAGGCUUUGAGUGUGGCAGAGGGGGGUAGAAUUCCACGUGUAGCAGUGAAAUGCGUAGAGAUGUGGAGGAAUACCGAUGGCGAAGGCAGCCCCCUGGGCCAACACUGACGCUCAUG